UGUGCAAUGGUGAUAUGACUGUGACAACUGUCUACCAUGGUUCACUCAGUUCCACAACGCUUUGUAGGAAAACCUCUUCUCCUUCGACUCACAUCAUGUUUCUUUCCUGGAAUGGCACACUCAAUGCAAGAAGACUGCCAGUCAUGAUAGAGGAGGCCCAAUUUACACUCAAGGUAUAGGGAUAGUAACUGUGUCUAUUGCUAGAAACUAAAUAAUAAAGCUUGGCAAGUUCAUUUAUAGGAGAACAUACAGAGGUCAAGCUUCCAAGACUUUAGAGGUGAAGUACUUCAAGGAGCAUUUGGCUAUUCAUAAAGUA
RNAcentral lists this small nuclear RNA (316 nucleotides) under Mesocricetus auratus (golden hamster). Its description in RNAcentral is "7SK RNA (ENSMAUG00000007095.1)". It matches the Rfam family "7SK RNA". From Rfam's summary of the family: 7SK was discovered as an abundant small nuclear RNA in the mid-70s but a possible function has only recently been suggested. Two independent studies have found that 7SK RNA binds the CDK9/cyclin T complex (known as elongation factor P-TEFb). Lineage: Eukaryota; Metazoa; Chordata; Mammalia; Rodentia; Cricetidae. The record is from RNAcentral.